AUGAAAUAGCAAUAUUUUGAUGGUUACCGGCAAACGGGUGUGGAACACGUACACAACCUUCCUAUAAGUGGGGAAUAGCCCAGAGAAAUUUGGAUUAAUACCCCGUAACAUAACGAUGUGGCAUCACAUUGUUAUUAUAGCUUCGGCGCUUAUUGAGUGGGUGUGCGGCUGAUUAGAUAGUUGGCGGGGUAACGGCCCACCAAGUCUACGAUCAGUAGCUGAUGUGAGAGCAUGAUCAGCCACACGGGCACUGAGACACGGGCCCGACUCCUACGGGAGGCAGCAGUAAGGAAUAUUGGACAAUGGACGAAAGUCUGAUCCAGCCAUGCCGCGUGAAGGAUUAAGGUCCUCUGGAUUGUAAACUUCUUUUAUCUGGGACGAAAAAAGGGAAUUCUUUCUCACCUUGACGGUACCAGUAU
RNAcentral lists this ribosomal RNA (419 nucleotides) under uncultured Bacteroidota bacterium. RNAcentral describes it as "bacterial SSU rRNA". It matches the Rfam family "Bacterial small subunit ribosomal RNA", at positions 71 to 484 of the family's 1533-position model. Lineage: Bacteria; Pseudomonadati; Bacteroidota. The record is from RNAcentral.